Molecule: long non-coding RNA, 257 nt
Filed under: Elaeis guineensis (African oil palm)
Lineage: Eukaryota; Viridiplantae; Streptophyta; Magnoliopsida; Arecales; Arecaceae
Description: long non-coding RNA (EGUI_LNC042948)
Source: RNAcentral
UACCGAAGUAAACUAUUAUAGUGACAGACUUAAUCGUUCCACGAAUGCCCAUGGUGGUUUUUGCAAGCAAGCCACAGCUGGCCAUGAGCUCAUAUACAUUAGUAGGUACAGCCAGGUAUGAUCUCAUGUCUAGGUCAUAUGCAAAAUUGUAUGCUAGCUCACUUAUAGAUAGCUCUCUAACCACCUAACAAAUUUCUCUAAUGGCUUAACAAACUCUGGAACGACUUCCUCAAUCCUUCUAUAAAUAGUGGGUCAGG